AGAGGGUGCGAGCGUUAAUCGGAAUUACUGGGCGUAAAGGGUGCGUAGGUGGUUGAAUAGGUUAGGUGUGAAAGUCUCGGGCUUAACCUGAGGAUUGCGCUUAAAACUGUUCGGCUAGAGUACUGUAGAGGGAAGUGGAAUUUCCGGUGUAGCGGUGAAAUGCGUAGAUAUCGGAAGGAACACCAGUGGCGAAGGCGACUUCCUGGACAGAUACUGACACUGAGGCACGAAAGCAUGGGGAGCAAACAGGAUUAGAUACCCUGGUAGUCCAUGCCGUAAACGAUGAGAACUGGCUGUUUUGCACCGUGAGGUGCGAAGUAGCGAAGCUAACGCGUUAAGUUCUCCGCCUGGGGAGUACGGCCGCAAGGCUA
This 371-nucleotide ribosomal RNA is filed under the name uncultured bacterium. RNAcentral describes it as "bacterial SSU rRNA". It matches the Rfam family "Bacterial small subunit ribosomal RNA", at positions 527 to 896 of the family's 1533-position model. The record is from RNAcentral.